This 509-nucleotide ribosomal RNA is filed under the name Cyrtotria sp. MNHN TR194. RNAcentral's name for it is "partial 16S ribosomal RNA". It matches the Rfam family "Archaeal large subunit ribosomal RNA", at positions 1922 to 2671 of the family's 2987-position model. The record is from RNAcentral. Lineage: Eukaryota; Metazoa; Arthropoda; Insecta; Blattodea; Blaberidae.
CUUUUCUUGAAAUUACUGGGAGAUAUGGCCUGCCCAAUGAGUGUUUGAAUGGCCGCGGUAUUUUGACCGUGCAAAGGUAGCAUAAUCAUUAGUCUCUUUAUUGGGGACUGGAAUGAAUGGUUGGACGAAAUAAAGACUGUCUUUAAUUUAAUUUGUUUAAUUUAAUUUUUGAGUAAAAAGGCUUAAAUUUUUUUAUGGGACGAGAAGACCCUAUAGAGUUUAAAUAUCUAUAAAGUUGUUUAUURAUGUAUAUUUAUGAUAAACAAUUUUGAUGUAUUUGGUUGGGGWGACUGAAAGAUAUAAAUAACUCUUUGUAUAAGUACUUACUUAUUUGUAUUAGUUUGAUCCAUUAUUAAUGAUUAUAAGACUAAAUUACCUUAGGGAUAACAGCGUAAUCUUUUUUGAGAGUUCUUAUUGACAAAAAGGGUUGCGACCUCGAUGUUGGAUUAAGAUCAUUUUUAGGUGAAGAAGCUUAAAGAUUAGGUCUGUUCGACCUUUAAAUUCUUACA